This 450-nucleotide ribosomal RNA is filed under the name uncultured bacterium. Its description in RNAcentral is "bacterial SSU rRNA". It matches the Rfam family "Bacterial small subunit ribosomal RNA", at positions 328 to 794 of the family's 1533-position model. The record is from RNAcentral.
GCCCCAGACUCCUACGGGAGGCAGCAGUGGGGAAUAUUGCGCAAUGGGGGCAACCCUGACGCAGCAACGCCGCGUGAUUGAAGAAGGCCUUCGGGUUGUAAAGAUCUUUAAUCGGGGACGAAUUUUGACGGUACCCGAAGAAUAAGCUCCGGCUAACUACGUGCCAGCAGCCGCGGUAAUACGUAGGGGGCGAGCGUUAUCCGGAUUUACUGGGUGUAAAGGGAGCGUAGACGGUUUUUCAAGUCUGAAGUGAAAGCCCGCGGCUCAACUGCGGAACGGCUUUGGAAACUGAGUAACUGGAGUGCUGGAGGGGCAGGCGGAAUUCCUGGUGUAGCGGUGAAAUGCGUAGAUGUCAGGAGGAACACCGGUGGCGAAGGCGGCCUGCUGGACAGUAACUGACGUUGAGGCUCGAAAGCGUGGGGAGCAAACAGGAUUAGAUACCCGUGUAGA